CUUUUUGAUUGUCUUCUGCCCUCCGCGUGGCCUUUUGCUGUCUCACCGUGCUACUUUAGUACCGCCCCUCGCGGGCCUUGAGGUGAAGGUGUGAGCGUCGGAGGCGUCGCGAACCGCGUGGCUCAGGUCGUUCUGGUUACCGAGCCCGCCGUGCAGACUGGAUUGCCUCGUACUUUUCGGGCCAGGUGCGUCGCCGGAGGCGCUCGUGUCUCUAUUUUCCUUCCGUUCCGAUAGGCCAUGCGGCCGUGUUUGGCGUGGUGAGCGCGUGGUGUGAAGGUGGUCGGUAGAGGUCAGGAGCGACAGCGACGGAUGUCCUUCCUCGUGUGCGCGAGCGUCGGGGGCGCGAGGACGAACGAAGGGCGCAGCGACGGCAGCCGACUCACCGGGGGCUGCUCCCUGCUCCCACCUCCUCUCCGCAGCGGCCUGCCUCGACGCUCCACAAACAUCCUAACGCACGCAUCCGCUCGGAAGCUUCGAACCCGUAUCAGUAGCGGUACCGGUGGCCCCACCGUGGCCGAGGCGAGGGCGUGCAGUUCCAGGCGCCGCCUCCGUAGCCGAAUUGGUUCUCGCAGCUGAAGCGGUUCCAGGAGAGGCAAGGGCCACGCGACUCCUGCCCCAGGAGCUCUCCGUCCCGCGAGCACCAGUCCUCGAGUUCAUGUCUCAGACUAUGGUACCUCGAGCUCGGCCGGAGGCUUCCUUCGGGUGAAGAACAAGGGUCCGUCUUCAUGACGCUUAGAUAGGUGGUUUGUUCCUCCUCUUUUUGUGCCUGACACUACCAGCCCUUGCACCGUGAACCGUCACUAGUGGGGUACUCCUAAGUCUGAUACUGGUGGAGUCUAUGGUUCCUACAACGGUUCUGGCACCUUCUCCACUACUCCUAACGUCUAUUUCCGCGACUAAAACAAUCUUAUUGGCAGGUCCCAUUUUUCCUCCGACUACGGACGAAACUCUAAUUCUUGUGAGAACAGGUCUUCUUAAUGUUGUAGGGAGAUCACCGGCUAUAAGUAAAACGCGGAUGUCAUCGAAAUUCUCACCGGCUUACGAAACUGUUUUAGGCACAAUUGGGUCCUUUGAAGCGGCUAGCGGCACGGGUUAAACUCUUCGACCUUAUAUGACUUCUGCUAAUGCUUUUCCUCGAACUUGUAUAACUCUUCCAGAAAAGAGGCAACCAACUCUUUACGUUCUUCAUACCUUCUCGGUACGCAUAACCUUGUUUAGUACCAUCAGAAAGACUGGCCUAUUACUCGAUGAUACCACUAAGAGGUUCCCCUUACCAACUCAGACGAAACCUUAAACGAUCCUAGACAGCCUUAAACCUGAAGGUAUUGAAACAUAAAAGUUACUUUCGUUCAUUGGGACAACAGUACCAGGUUCGUAUAGCGGACGAACAUCGCCUUUACAUAUUGGAACCUACCCUAAUAGGAAACGUGAACCCUCAAUGGCUUCGACCACUCCCACUUCUACCCUCCUACUUCAGACGAUAACCGUAGCCUUGUGAAAACUACCUACCGAACCCACUAUGUUAGGCACAUAGGGACUGUCUUGGUGGUCUCCUUCUUUAACUAGGAACGUCCUCUGAGCGUUUAGAACCUUGAGUCCGACGUUUGGAAGUUUAUCCCCACCGGGGUAAACUUCUUUUUGUAUCCGCGAUAAAACUAAAGGUCGCAUCUUCACCGGUCAACGGAAAUGUCUUCCUCCCACUCCGUCAUCUAAUGUCUCCACAGGAAGUAGCACUACCGAGACAAGACUACAGUCACAGGAAUCUAGUCAACUUCCGAGGACUCGAGGAAAUAUCCAGAGAACGACGCUUCGAAUAUCAACCGUACGGAAAGUUCCUAAACCGUUGACAUCUAAGAUAAGAAAACUCUCUUGAGGGGGGACAUNNNNNNNNNNNNNNNUCUGAACGUGAGUUUUCUAAUCAACUGUAGUCGUACCCGCACAACUGAGGGAAUAGUCUCGUUAACUGUUUCGGUGAGGGUGUACGUUAACACGAACAGUGGGAACUACUUGAUAGUUCACUACGUUUGUUCGAAAACGGUCUUCCGUGAUCUAAACGACAGUGAGAAGCACCUCUACUUAGUAUACUCGUCGAUCUACAAGAAUUCUCACAACUAUUAUAUUGCUACAACAAUGUAUUGCAAGGUAUACCACUUCUCUUCUGACCAUCUCAUGUACGACGAUCCUCCGACAAACUCAUGAAUCUCUGGUUACCAAACUUGAAGGGACACUAGGUAGUGUAACUAAAGGGAUUUUCGUAGCUAUCUCUACCAGAACAAUAACCACGACCCUCGUUACAACCACGAGAAGAUCAACUACCAGACCCACUACCACAUGAAGAACUUCGACGAUUGGUCCUCAAACUUAAGAACUCCCUAUGUAGGAAGUUGAACGAUGUCCCAACGGCCUACGCGUUGUGUUUUUGACUUAUACAGAGAACAGGAAGAACACCCGCUUGCGAGAAGCUGGAGGUUCUUUAGUCACGAGUCUAAUCUCUCUUCUGGAGAGUAGACGGACCGCAGAGAUAACGAUAAUACCCAACGUAACAAUUACCCGGUCCGCUCUACCGACUACGGCUGAAACCUAUGCAACCUCCACGGGGACCUUUCUAGCUGGAAAUACAACCCUUCUGACAACACGUUGCCCCUUAACGUUACCUCCCACGGUGACUUCGGAACUAAGUCGAAUAGUUCCUGGUACCGGCAACCCACCUAGGAGGAUGACUCCUCAUCCGAGACCGACAAAGGCCAUCAAGUACACAUCGGGCAUUUGCUAGGCGAUCGCCUUUUAAGUCACAUAGUUGUCUGGUCUCCUAUAGGGUCGUGUAUAAUAUAGUCAACCCUUUAUUUUAUCUUUGUUACAGCCGACGUUAAGACGCUGUAGGACUACUUCGUAUUCGUCGUAUCUUCGAAGAACUUUAGUGUAGUGCCAUAUAGGAUUCGUACAUCCUCAUGUAAACAUUUACUGUACGUCUUUUAGUUUCAUCAAAUGGACAUAGAUCUUGAUCUACUAUGGGGCGCGCAACGACGAUGUCACAUAAGUGUUUCCUGUAGGGUUGUGUACAACAUAUAGUUAACCCUUUGUUUCAUCUUUGUCCCGACCCGUGCUAAGACGCUGUAGAACUACUUCGUAUUCGUCGAAUCUUCGAAGAACUUUAGUACAGCGAUAUAUAGAAUUUCUUCCAAUACGAUAAUACGUUCAUGUAUUUAAGAAUAAACAUAUAAAACUAAACAAGGUUCGACACACCGACCUGUACCAACAACCUUUUGUGCCAUCUUUAGUUCCCCCUUUUUUUUAGGGGGACAAGUUGAAGAAGAUCUUGGUUGGGUUAGGUUAAUACACACGCGUCAAACAACCUCAAAAAAAGAAGAAACCAAAUCCUCUUGGAGAAACAACACAAACAAUAUAGUAAACAGGUGGUAUAGACUUCGAACCGAAGCGGGAGACUCCACCGACUAUCAUCCCUGCUAGUUGUACGUGAUAUCCCUCCUCGCGUUCUCCUUCGAGUUGAGUAAACUCAACUUCUUCAUAUUCUCCAUCAUCACUCUGAAGACAGCAGAGCUAAAAACAAAGUAUAGUACAGUAAAAACACAGUGAUUUUGUCCAAAUAGCUCGGCACCUAAUACAAAUCACGUACAAUUGGAACACUCACAGUACCGCAAACUUUAUUUCAAGUUGAACACAAACUUUACUU
RNAcentral lists this ribosomal RNA (3691 nucleotides) under Triticum aestivum (bread wheat). Its description in RNAcentral is "partial small subunit ribosomal RNA". Lineage: Eukaryota; Viridiplantae; Streptophyta; Magnoliopsida; Poales; Poaceae. The record is from RNAcentral.